This 446-nucleotide ribosomal RNA is filed under the name uncultured bacterium. RNAcentral's name for it is "SSU rRNA". It matches the Rfam family "Bacterial small subunit ribosomal RNA", at positions 26 to 518 of the family's 1533-position model. The record is from RNAcentral.
AGAACGAACGCUGGCGGCAUGCCUAACACAUGCAAGUCGAACGAGACCUUCGGGUCUAGUGGCGCACGGGUGCGUAACGCGUGGGAAUCUGCCCAAAGGUUCGGAAUAACUCAGGGAAACUUGAGCUAAUACCGGAUGAUGUCGCAAGACCAAAGAUUUAUUGCCUUUGGAUGAGCCCGCGUAGGAUUAGCUUGUUGGUGAGGUAAAGGCUCACCAAGGCUACGAUCCUUAGCUGGUCUGAGAGGAUGAUCAGCCACACUGGGACUGAGACACGGCCCAGACUCCUACGGGAGGCAGCAGUGGGGAAUAUUGGACAAUGGGCGAAAGCCUGAUCCAGCAAUGCCGCGUGAGUGAUGAAGGCCCUAGGGUUGUAAAGCUCUUUUACCCGGGAAGAUAAUGACUGUACCGGGAGAAUAAGCCCCGGCUAACUCCGUGCCAGCAGCCGC